AUGCUCGAUGUGUUGUUUGACAGCUGCUACUCGUAAUAGGCGCAAUGGCGUCUAUUGCUUUGCUGAAUGCUUUCACGCGUGUACUGUUCGUUCUUAACACUUUCCUUGUGCUGUGUAGUUUUGUGUUAUGAUAAAAUAGAAGUGCUGAUAGAAUGCUACUGCUGCCUAUUUGCUAAUUAAACGGUGUUACACGUAGUUUUUAUGCACAAAAUGGACGAGUAUUCUGGUUUACAUGCCACCUUGUAUGUAGCUUUUGUUUGUUCUCUAAAGUUUAAGCUGCGUUGGUGAUGCACAUAGUACGAUAUUUUGCGCGUGCAUUUAUUAUGUUCCGAGUAUUGUCCAACUGGCGAAUCUAUUGCGAAGCUGUCUGUAAGUAUUAUUGGCUUAUGUAACAUAUUCCUAAAUGUGUUCUAUUGCUUAUACUAUCGCUAUGAGCUCGCUAUUGUGAUUAUAUAGGCAAAAUUCGUAGUUUCAAAAUAGUAGUACCAUCUUUUGUUUCAGUCUUUUAUAAAUAUUCCUAUUUCUGUUUAAGUCUUUUAUAAAUAUUGAUAUUUUUCACUUGUCACACAUCCAUCCGCGUAUAUGUAUGGUCUGUUAUUAAUUUUGUUUUCUAGUGUUUCUCACGUGAUUUGUUUUACUGCAGUCUUGUUUGUAAUUUUGUUGUUUCGCAUUUUUUUUAAUUUUUGUUGAAAUUAUUUUUAUAAUUUUUUUAUGUUCAUUUAUGGUUGCUAUGGAAAUUUGUUUUAGUAUAUCUUUUGUUCUCUAAUGAUUUCCUCACUGAGCUAAAGGUAUACGCAUUACUUCGUUUCCUGCUAUAUAUUUCCAUCCAAUCUUUAACGGGAUCUUGGCAGUAAUUGCGGGGAGUGAGUUAGUUGUUGUGAUUUUCGUGCAUUCCGAGCAUUGCCUUAGAGCAUUAUGUGUGACUGUAUUUAGCUUAUUGCUUUUUGUGUAGUUGUUAUUCACCGCCAUAAAUUACGCCAAAAUAGAAAGAAGAACGGUUCUGGGGACUACUUCAGCGGCUUGGUUGUUAGUAAACUACUCACCCAAUUACAAGGCGCGAUAGAUUUCUUCUUGGCUUCAAGCUCGCUCGGCAUCCAAGUGUCUUCUACUGGUCUCUUAGUCGACGUAACGGGGGCGUUCCUUGGGCGUCGCAUCUACUGCUGUUACCUUUAUCGCCGGACGCUUCAGGAUUCCAUUCUCUUUUUUGACGGUGACGACGCGUACCUGCCCGUCUGAGCCGGAUGUGCCUCUAGCACCUUUUCUUUUAUACAUUGGCUGCGGGAGCGUUAUCGUUCCUGAUUACCACGAAAUUGCCUAUAUUCACGCGCACUACCUUGCUAGUUCAGUUGUUCCGCUUGAUAAGGGUUGGCAACUAAUCCUUCUUCCAACGAUUCCAAAAGAACUUGGCGUUGUGCAGCGCUGAUUUGUAUUGUUGCCUGCACAGGAGACAUAGGAGAGACAUCCAAGCUUACCGGCGGCAGAGCAUCAACAUCUCUCACAAAAAGGAAGUGGAGCGGUAUUAGGAUCUCGUCUUCCUCGUUGAUUAGCGGUAUGUGGGUAAGCGGGCGCGAGUUAAUCAUUGUCUUGAUUUGUAACGUCGCCGGUAAGGGGUGUCGUGUUUCCCAUUCGGUGGCCAUGUGGCGUAGCGCCUUCUUUAUUGUCUGUAUCAUGCAUUCCCAUGAUCCCGCGAAAUGGGAAGCUGGGGAGGGUUGAAUUUUCGUUCUAUUUGAUAGUUAAGUGCGACUUCUUUUUCCAUCCUCUCAUCGAUGUCUUCAAUCAGUUUCUCUAGCAGCUUCUCCGAUGGCUGGGCUGCCUUAGGAGUAGACCUGUUGCAGCAAUCUUUCACGCUCUUUAGCACAUUUCUGAUGUACACGAUUUACCCAAUAGAUUUACCUCCAAACGGCGAUGACCACUUUGUCGGCUUGAUGGAGGUAUUUCUCGUGAUAAUUCCGCAAAGAAGCUUAACGAUGUGUGGUUUCUGAGGUAGGAGUAUCGGCACUCUUUGAAAGCCUCACCGCGUUCUCUAACCGGCUGCGUCAUCUCAAGACUGAUCGUGCAAAUAGGGCAACAACGGUUUAAUGCUGCUUUUUGACCAAAUUUCUCCUUCCUUUCCAUUCCGUCAGGUAAACCUUCCCAUUGCGCCCUGCAUAGAAAAGCGUAUUUGGCCUGCUCUGUGUCUUCGCGUGAAAUGGUUCUCGUGAAUGUUUUACGGUCUUUAAUGGAGUUCGCGAAGUUCUUCAGAGUCUACUGAUUCCUGAUGAUAAUUCACUGCAGUCGAUGUGACACGCUUUUCCUCAUCUGUGUCUGAAAUGGGCUGCUGCGAAGGGCAGCCAUUUUCUCGAUCCAGCAGUAAAUUUGACCUAUUUUACCAAAUGCUGGCGUUAAUGGUAAUCUUUCUUUUGAGCAUCGGCUUGAUUCUCUGCAGAAGAGAUCCAUUGGACCCCUCCAUUGGCUGACAUAACGAGCAACGGAUCAGAGGCGCCAAAACUAGUACGACGCUCCCUACGUCAAGUAGUGUUGUAGCACGGAAAGAUAUUGCCGGGGCGUAAAUGUCAAUUGCGGAUAGCAGCUAGUCGAUACGAUUGUUAAGUAGACGCGACGGAAAGUCUUUGCGCGUUACAAUUCCGCUAUUUCAGCGAAUUGCACCUGGGCGCUCGCAACCUGGGGAACGAUACUUAAUACUUCCCGCUUGGUAGGCAAUUUUUUAUUAGACCCUACGCUGAUCCUCAUAUCCUCAUGAGGCUGGAUUUGUUCGAGACAAAUUUCCUUGUUUUCGCCAGCCUUUCGGUUUUUCACUAUCUGUGCGCAUGAUGUCGAGCAUGUUCAAACGACAUGCCCUGCAUAACGUACGUGUCCGGCUUUCUGCUAGUGUCUACAUUUCCCCAUAAUCCACUAAUAUAGAUGUUUCCUUCGCGAAAUCUUAACAACAAUCCGAAUAACGAUGGCAUCUCAUCGGGUGCGGUAAGAAGCAGCGAGUUUAAGGAGACGUCCCUAACCCGCGCAGCUGCCUCUAACACCAACCGAGAUUUUGGGACCGGCUUAUUCUUAUUUACUACCACGAAAUGUGGCAAAUAGAAGGUUCCGGGACUACGUUUAGCUGCUUCUUGGCGAGAAAGUUUCCUUAUGCAGCCAUUUUCUUCAUACUGCUCAAAUGUCUCACAAAGCCAAACAUAUUCGGAUUCCCCUGUAGCUGCGUUUCUUGACUCUUUAGACGAAAUAAGGCAGCUUCUAGUGGUAUUAGUAGAUGGUUAUGGUUUAGACCAGUGAUGUCGAACUAAUUUUGGCUUGCGCGCCGGUUUGCAAAUAAAAAUGGUGUUUCUGGCCCAACUUUAAAAAUAUCACUUGUGCGUUGUAAAACCUACCUGACUACUUACUAGAAUUCAAUUACAAUGACAAUGGAACCCGGUCCUGCCGAGUGGACCGUCGCCGUUUAUCACACACACCACCGGGCCGCCCCCGCCUUCCGUGCUUGUAACAUGCUUUACAUGUUUGAAUAGAUGUAUGAGUUUACUAUAAAAUUCAAGCUUAGAGUUAGUUUACGCAUACUUAGUUAACUACUUAACACCUAUUUUAUUAAAAAUUUCAUAGGACACACAUAAUCCGCCCAGUGAUAAAUGGCGCAACAACGAGGUCGGAUGACAGUAGCUGUGGUCAGUUGUAAAAUGAAGAUAAUCAAGUUUCGAAAAUUUAUCUGUAAAUUUGUCGAAAAAUUUUUGCGUCAUCGGGGUGAUACAGAAGAUGAUUAUUUUUAGGAAGCCGGAUUUUUAGGAACCGUCGAUAAGUCAUUGAUGAAUAAUAUGAACAGCAGUGCCCCUGAAUUGCUGCCCUGAGGAAAGCGGAGGCUUCUUGAUAGAUGUGGUCUCAGCUUAACUGAAUAUGACCGAUUGCUCAGCUAUGAACUCAACCAUGUCAAGAUAGGGAUUAAUCAUGACACCUUCCAACAGGCCGGAACGAUGCCAUAGCGUAGCGAUUAUUUAAAAAUCUUUGCUAAUACAAUGUCACACUUUGUGAGAAUCGUCGCUGGAACGCCAACUGGUCCCGCGGUGUAGAAGGCCGAUAGUA
Long non-coding RNA from Anopheles funestus (African malaria mosquito), 4062 nucleotides. RefSeq lists it as uncharacterized. The record is from RefSeq and is a predicted model, not a curated record. Lineage: Eukaryota; Metazoa; Arthropoda; Insecta; Diptera; Culicidae. The transcript has 3 exons.